AGCAGAGAAGGUUUGGGCUGAGGUUUUCUUUUACCUUGCUCAGAACAAUGUCAUGUUUGAAGGUAUCCUCCUGAAGCCGAGCAUGGUGACUCCAGGAGCCGAGUCUAAAGACAGAGCUACUCCUGAACAAGUUGCCUCCUACACCCUUAAGCUCCUCCGCAACAGAAUCCCUCCUGCCGUCCCCGGAAUCAUGGCAAGCUUUAAAUGAGUUUUUUUUUUUUUUUAUGAGGAAAACCUAGAUCUUGGUUGUUUGAGGUGAAAGUUAAGUUUUAUGUGUUUUUUUUCUGCAGUUCUUGUCGGGAGGACAGUCUGAGUUGGAGGCAACGUUGAACCUGAACGCCAUGAACCAGGCACCAAACCCGUGGCACGUGUCCUUCUCCUACGCACGUGCUCUUCAGAACACUUGCCUGAAAACCUGGGGAGGCAGAGCUGAGAACGUGAACGCAGCUCAGACCA
This 456-nucleotide long non-coding RNA is filed under the name Brassica napus (rape). RNAcentral describes it as "long non-coding RNA (BNAP_LNC021020)". The record is from RNAcentral. Lineage: Eukaryota; Viridiplantae; Streptophyta; Magnoliopsida; Brassicales; Brassicaceae.